AUGAGUAACCAAAUGCUUGUUCCGUUCGGUUCCUCAUCGCACUUUGGUCGCCCGUCCCGUCGAAUAGCCGCCGCCGUCGCCGUCCUUCCUGCUCUUAGACGGCUGCUCGGUGCGCCGUUCCGAUCAAGCAAUCCCGUGGCGGCCCCGAUCCAGGCAAGUCCGCCACCCUGGUCUCGCUCCUGCCGCCAGGAACUGCAAGCCCUCCGUUGCGGCGCGCCGAAGCCUCCGCUGCCCCAUCGCCCCCAGCAGCGCCUCGCUCCAUCGACAACCUGCUCGCGCCCGUCGACUCCUGCCUUCCUCCUCCCCGUUCCCUCAACCCCCACCACUCCUGCCUUCCUCCUCCCCGUUCCCUCAACCCCCGGCUCAAUCUGUAUCUAUUUGCUCUAUUAGCUCUUCUUCUUUCUGGAUCUCUUUGCUCUGAAGUACUGUCACAGUGUUGGGAACAGGUAGUAUACAUGUACAAUGUCGGAAUCAGCAGGCUCCCGGCCGGUGCAAGAUCAGAUACACGGUGUCCAGUGGGGCUGGGGAGCCGUCAGCCGUGUUCUACGCCGCGCCGCCGAGGUGAAGCAUCUGCGCAAAGGAAUGAUGGCAGAGUGCGGAUAGAAUUAAUAGGACGCGUGCUGCCGCAUUGCUGCCAUGCUCUUGCGAGUCGUGAUUGAACCGAUGAGACUUUUAUAGGCUGCUGUUUAUUUAGCUCGGUUCUGCUUCGCUAGUCGUGCUGUUUUCACUCGUAUGUAGUAUUAUUUAGCUCAGUUCUGGUCAAGUAGUUCAGCACGCUUACGGUGAUUGUUCCUUGCCCCGAAAAGUAAGAAACUGCUUUGAUUCAUUUGCUGCACUUGCAACUUAUUUUCGACCCUCUGUAAACAUUUGAUUCCUUUCUGUAGAGCCUUGAAUGUUCUGAAUAAAUUCAUUUUUUUUUGGUGUAGCUCUGAGUAUCUGAUAUGUACUUGGAAUGGAAAUACAAUAUGGAAUAUUUGUUGUCCAGAAGUAGUUUUGGUGA
This is a long non-coding RNA of Hordeum vulgare subsp. vulgare (domesticated barley), 1000 nucleotides long. RefSeq lists it as uncharacterized. The record is from RefSeq and is a predicted model, not a curated record. NCBI's taxonomy places the organism in Eukaryota, Viridiplantae, Streptophyta, Magnoliopsida, Poales, Poaceae. The transcript has 2 exons.